RNAcentral lists this long non-coding RNA (327 nucleotides) under Coffea arabica (coffee). Its description in RNAcentral is "long non-coding RNA (CARA_LNC006975)". Lineage: Eukaryota; Viridiplantae; Streptophyta; Magnoliopsida; Gentianales; Rubiaceae. The record is from RNAcentral.
AAUUUGGAAAGAAACUACACAACGAAUAAGAGACGAUGCUUGACAACUUUAAGCCAGCCAAAGUGCUUCACAAAGGUCAUUGGCAUCCACAAUGACCACCCGAUUGCCCAUAAUAACUUCAAUCCCCUGUUCCCCCUGAAUGAUAAUGUUGCAUGCUCCAAAAAUUUACAUCCGGCAUCCGAUCACAUGCAAGAGAUCAAUGAGGAUCAGCGAGAACGUCAUUUGUUACUAUUGGUGCAGACUUGUAUUUCAGUAAAUAGUGCAAUUUGGCUAGUAUUCCAUUGUUGUAAUAUUUUUUAUUGGAGCGAGAGAGAGAGAGAAUCUACA